GGAGGAAUACCCAAGUGGUCGAAGGGGCUCCCCUGCUAAGGGAGUAGGGCUGUGAAAGGCUGCGGAAGUUCAAAUCUUCUUUCCUCCGCCA
RNAcentral lists this transfer RNA (91 nucleotides) under Clostridiales bacterium. RNAcentral's name for it is "tRNA-Ser". It matches the Rfam family "tRNA". Rfam says of the family: Transfer RNA (tRNA) molecules are approximately 80 nucleotides in length. Their secondary structure includes four short double-helical elements and three loops (D, anti-codon, and T loops). Lineage: Bacteria; Bacillati; Bacillota; Clostridia; Eubacteriales. RNAcentral also lists the same sequence under 1 other name. The record is from RNAcentral.